UACGUAGGGCGCAAGCGUUGUCCGGAAUUACUGGGCGUAAAGAGCUCGUAGGCGGUUUGUCGCGUCGUCUGUGAAAUUCUGCAACUCAAUUGUAGGCGUGCAGGCGAUACGGGCAGACUUGAGUACUACAGGGAGACUGGAAUUCCUGGUGUAGCGGUGAAAUGCGCAGAUAUCAGGAGGAACACCGAUGGCGAAGGCAGGUCUCUGGGCCAUUACUGACACUGAGAAGCGAAAGCAUGGGGAGCGAACAGG
This 252-nucleotide ribosomal RNA is filed under the name uncultured bacterium. Its description in RNAcentral is "partial 16S ribosomal RNA". It matches the Rfam family "Bacterial small subunit ribosomal RNA", at positions 524 to 776 of the family's 1533-position model. The record is from RNAcentral.